RNAcentral lists this ribosomal RNA (490 nucleotides) under uncultured bacterium. RNAcentral's name for it is "partial 16S ribosomal RNA". It matches the Rfam family "Bacterial small subunit ribosomal RNA", at positions 30 to 507 of the family's 1533-position model. The record is from RNAcentral.
AUUGAACGCUGGCGGCAGGCCUAACACAUGCAAGUCGAACGGUAACAGGAAGCAGCUUGCUGCUUUGCUGACGAGUGGCGGACGGGUGAGUAAUGUCUGGGAAACUGCCUGAUGGAGGGGGAUAACUACUGGAAACGGUAGCUAAUACCGCAUAACGUCGCAAGACCAAAGAGGGAGACCUUCGGGCCUCUUGCCAUCGGAUGUGCCCAGAUGGGAUUAGCUAGUAGGUGGGGUAACGGCUCACCUAGGCGACGAUCCCUAGCUGGUCUGAGAGGAUGACCAGCCACACUGGAACUGAGACACGGUCCAGACUCCUACGGGAGGCAGCAGUGGGGAAUAUUGCACAAUGGGCGCAAGCCUGAUGCAGCCAUGCCGCGUGUAUGAAGAAGGCCUUCGGGUUGUAAAGUACUUUCAGCGGGGAGGAAGGGAGUAAAGUUAAUACCUUUGCUCAUUGACGUUACCCGCAGAAGAAGCACCGGCUAACUCCGUG